Molecule: ribosomal RNA, 512 nt
Filed under: uncultured bacterium
Lineage: Bacteria
Description: partial 16S ribosomal RNA
Rfam family: Bacterial small subunit ribosomal RNA
Source: RNAcentral
GAUGAACGCUGGCGGCGUGCCUAAUACAUGCAAGUCGAGCGAACAGAUAAGGAGCUUGCUCCUUUGACGUUAGCGGCGGACGGGUGAGUAACACGUGGGUAACCUACCUAUAAGACUGGAAUAACUCCGGGAAACCGGGGCUAAUGCCGGAUAACAUUUAGAACCGCAUGGUUCUAAAGUGAAAGAUGGUUUUGCUAUCACUUAUAGAUGGACCCGCGCCGUAUUAGCUAGUUGGUAAGGUAAUGGCUUACCAAGGCAACGAUACGUAGCCGACCUGAGAGGGUGAUCGGCACACUGGAACUGAGACACGGUCCAGACUCCUACGGGAGGCAGCAGUAGGGAAUCUUCCGCAAUGGGCGAAAGCCUGACGGAGCAACGCCGCGUGAGUGAUGAAGGGUUUCGGCUCGUAAAACUCUGUUAUUAGGGAAGAACAAACGUGUAAGUAACUGUGCACGUCUUGACGGUACCUAAUCAGAAAGCCACGGCUAACUACGUGCCAGCCGCCGCCGUAA